Molecule: long non-coding RNA, 670 nt
Organism: Erigeron canadensis
Lineage: Eukaryota; Viridiplantae; Streptophyta; Magnoliopsida; Asterales; Asteraceae
Exons: 2
Source: RefSeq, a predicted model, not a curated record
UACCAAGUUGGCUACUCAUUUCGUCAAAUGUCUACAACCUUUAUUGCAGAAAAGUUAAAGUCAAGAAUUCAAAAUGUUUUUGGUACACGUUAUAAGAUAUAAGUUGUAAUGAUGAAAGUAUAUGUUACUUGGUUGUUAUUUUACAUUUACAUGUAAAUAAACAUGUAAAUUAUGUGUAGAAGCUUAGAAGGCAUGUAACAAGCAGUGUAUGUAGUAUGAGUAUGUACCAGUACCACAGUGUUAGAGGCCUUGAGAGUACUUUAAUCUUUAGUCUGUUACAAGAUGUAUGUCCGCGCAAUACGACAUUACUGGCUAUGGCGGUGACGGGUGGUGGUGGAGGCGACGGGUGAUAACAGAGACGAUGAGGGCGAGGUAACAAUAUCUUAUAAACAAAUUAUUUGGGCUUGGGUUUGCCAAUAUCUUAUAAAUAGACUAUUUGGGCUUGGGUUUGACAAUACCUACCGGUGACAAUACCAUUAGGUCCAGUACCACGAUAUUUGAGGGUAACUUAAUCUUUAGUCUUGUGAGUUAGUCAGCCGAAGAACAUUUUUUGGGCUUGGGUUUGCCAAUAUCUCUAACCUAUUGUUGUAUUGUUUACGUGUAUUUCCUUUUCAUGUCAUAUUAAAGAAAAUUGAAAAGAAGUAAAGAAUGAUAUAUUUUUCAUGCGUUA